CCUACGUGAGGCAGCAGUGAGGAAUAUUGGUCAAUGGGCGGAAGCCUGAACCAGCCAAGUAGCGUGCAGGCUGACGGCCCCACGCGUUGUAAACUGCUUUUAUACGGGAAUAACGCGCCUUACGUGUAGGUCUUUUCAUGUACCGUAUGAAUAAGGACCGGCUACUUCCGUGCCAGCAGCCGCGUUAAUACGGAAGGUCCGGGCGUUAUCCGGAUUUCUUGGGUUUAAAGGGCGCGUAGGCCGCAUGUCAAGCGUGCUGUGAAAUGUCCGGGCUCAACCCCGGCCUUGCAGCGCGAACUGGCGUGCGUGAGUCCGCGGAAAGCAGGCGGAAUUCGUCGUGUAGCGGUGAAAUGCUUAGAUAUGACGAAGAACCCCGAUUGCGAAGGCAGCUUGCUGCAGCGGAACUGACGCUGAGGCUCGAAAGCGCGGGUAUCGAACAGGAUUAGAUACCCCUGUAGUC
RNAcentral lists this ribosomal RNA (460 nucleotides) under uncultured bacterium. RNAcentral's name for it is "partial 16S ribosomal RNA". It matches the Rfam family "Bacterial small subunit ribosomal RNA", at positions 338 to 795 of the family's 1533-position model. The record is from RNAcentral.